AUACGUAGGUGGCAAGCGUUGUCCGGAAUUAUUGGGCGUAAAGGGUGCGUAGGCGGUCUAUUAAGUCUGGUUUGAAAGCCCAUGGCUUAACCAUGGAUUGAGAUUGGAAACUGGUAGACUUGAGGACAGGAGAGGAAGGUGGAAUUCCACGUGUAGCGGUGAAAUGCGUAGAGAUGUGGAGGAACACCAGUGGCGAAGGCGGCCUUCUGGCCUGUGACUGACGCUGAUGCACGAAAGCGUGGGUAGCAAACAGGAUUAGAUACCCUGGUAGUCCACGCCGUAAACGAUGAGUACUAAGUGUCGGGGGAAACCUCGGUGCUGAAGUUAACGCAUUAAGUACUCCGCCUGGGAAGUACGGUCGCAAGACUGAA
RNAcentral lists this ribosomal RNA (371 nucleotides) under uncultured bacterium. RNAcentral describes it as "bacterial SSU rRNA". It matches the Rfam family "Bacterial small subunit ribosomal RNA", at positions 523 to 898 of the family's 1533-position model. The record is from RNAcentral.